Long non-coding RNA from Dermochelys coriacea (leatherback sea turtle), 230 nucleotides. RefSeq lists it as uncharacterized. NCBI's taxonomy places the organism in Eukaryota, Metazoa, Chordata, Testudines, Dermochelyidae. The record is from RefSeq and is a predicted model, not a curated record. The transcript has 3 exons.
CAGGUUUCAGAGUAGCAGCCGUGUUAGUCUGGAUCUGUAAAAGCGGCAAAGAGUCCUGUGGCACCUUAUAUACUAAGAGACAUAUUGGAGCAUUACCUUUCAUGGGUGAAUACCCACUUUGUCGUAUUCACGUAGUGGAAAUUUCCAGAGGCAGGUAUAAAUAUGCAAGCAAGAAUCAGGCUAGGGAUAAUGAGGUUAGUUCAAUCAGGGAGGAUGAGGCCCUCUUCUAG